UGUCUUAACACAGCCAGUCCUGUUAGUUUAUAGUACAGUAGGUCCAUUCAUUCAUCAUGUCUUAACACAGCUAGUCCUGUUAGUCUAUAGUACAGUAGGUCCAUCAUCGUGUCUUAACACAGCCAGUCCUGUUAGUCUAUAGUACAGUAGGUCCAUUCAUUCAUCGUGUCUUAACACAGCCAGUCCUGUUAGUCUAUAGUACAGUAGGUCCAUUCAUUCAUCGUGUCUUAACACAGCUAGUCCUGUUAGUUUAUAGUACAGUAGGUGCAUCAUAGUGUCUUAACACAGCCAGUCCUGUUAGUUUAUAAUACAGUAGGUCCAUUCAUUCAUCGUGUCUUAACACAGCCAGUCCUGUUAGUCUAUAGUACAGUAGGUCCAUUCAUUCAUCGUGUCUUAACACAGCCAGUCCUGUUAGUCUAUAGUACAGUAGGUCCAUCAUCGUGUCUUAACACAGCCAGUCCUGUUAGUUUAUAGUACAGUAGGUCCAUUCAUUCAUCGUGUCUUAACACAGCUAGUCCUGUUAGUUUAUAAUACAGUAGGUCCAUUCAUUCAUCGUGUCUUAACAGAGCCAGUCCUGUUAGUCUAUAGUACAGUAGGUCCAUCAUCGUGUCUUAACACAGCCAGUCCUGUUAGUCUAUAGUACAGUAGGUCCAUCAUCGUGUCUUAACACAGCCAGUCCUGUUAGUUUAUAGUACAGUAGGUCCAUUCAUUCAUCGUGUCCUCAAUCCAGCUGCCUUGUAUAUUUACAAGGUAAAUGUAUGUUUUUAAUGCAGCAGAUUAAAUGUAAUUACAUCUAA
This is a non-coding RNA of Salmo salar (Atlantic salmon), 797 nucleotides long. The record is from RefSeq and is a predicted model, not a curated record. NCBI's taxonomy places the organism in Eukaryota, Metazoa, Chordata, Actinopteri, Salmoniformes, Salmonidae.